RNAcentral lists this ribosomal RNA (442 nucleotides) under uncultured bacterium. RNAcentral describes it as "partial 16S ribosomal RNA". It matches the Rfam family "Bacterial small subunit ribosomal RNA", at positions 338 to 795 of the family's 1533-position model. The record is from RNAcentral.
CCUACGGGAGGCAGCAGUGGGGAAUAUUGGGCAAUGGACGCAAGUCUGACCCAGCCACGCCGCGUGAAGGAAGAAGGCUUUCGGGUUGUAAACUUCUUUUAUGGGGGAAGAGCAGAAGACGGUACCCCUUGAAUAAGCCACGGCUAACUACGUGCCAGCAGCCGCGGUAAUACGUAGGUGGCAAGCGUUGUCCGGAUUUAAUGGGUGUAAAGGGCGUGCAGCCGGAGAGACAAGUCAGAUGUGAAAUCCACGGGCUCAACGCGUGAACUGCCUUUGAAACUGUUUCCCUGGAGUGUGGGGGAGGUAAGCGGAAUGCCUGGUGUAGCGGUGAAAUGCGUAGAUAUUAGGAAGAACACCAGUGGCGAAGGCGGAUUACGGGUCGAUAACUGACGGUGAGGCGCGAAAGCGUGGGGAGCAAACAGGAUUAGAUACCCUAGUAGUC